CUACGGGAGGCAGCAGUGAGGAAUUUUGGACAAUGGGGGCAACCCUGAUCCAGCCAUUCCGCGUGAGUGAAGAAGGCCUUCGGGUUGUAAAGCUCUUUUGUCGGGGACGAAACGGUUUCAAUUAAUACUUGAGACUACUGACGGUACCCGAAGAAUAAGCACCGGCUAACUACGUGCCAGCAGCCGCGGUAAUACGUAGGGUGCGAGCGUUAAUCGGAAUUACUGGGCGUAAAGCGUGCGCAGGCGGUUGUGUAAGCCAGAUGUGAAAUCCCCGGGCUCAACCUGGGAAUGGCAUUUGGGACUGCACGGCUAGAGUAUGGCAGAGGAGACUAGAAUUCCUGGUGUAGCAGUGAAAUGCGUAGAUAUCAGGAGGAAUACCGAUGGCGAAGGCAGGUCUCUGGGCUGAUACUGACGCUCAUGCACGAAAGCGUGGGGAGCAAACAGGAUUAGAUACCCUGGUAGUCG
Molecule: ribosomal RNA, 465 nt
Filed under: uncultured bacterium
Lineage: Bacteria
Description: bacterial SSU rRNA
Rfam family: Bacterial small subunit ribosomal RNA
Source: RNAcentral